Small nucleolar RNA from Magnolia sinica, 109 nucleotides. Lineage: Eukaryota; Viridiplantae; Streptophyta; Magnoliopsida; Magnoliales; Magnoliaceae. The record is from RefSeq and is a predicted model, not a curated record.
AAACCAUGGUGAGGACAUUUAAGAAGCAAGUCCUUCCAUCUUUCCCAACAUUCAUGAAAGUGCUCGCCCUCUUUUUGUGUGAAGUUAGUAAUUUCUCUACAAAAGGCAU